Molecule: ribosomal RNA, 253 nt
Filed under: uncultured bacterium
Lineage: Bacteria
Description: partial 16S ribosomal RNA
Rfam family: Bacterial small subunit ribosomal RNA
Source: RNAcentral
UACAGAGGGUGCGAGCGUUAAUCGGAAUUACUGGGCGUAAAGCGCGCGCAGGCGGUCUUCCAAGUCAGUGGUGAAAGCCCGGAGCUCAACUCCGGAACUGCCAUUGAAACUGUUGGACUUGAGUACGAGAGAGGUGAGUGGAAUUCCCAGUGUAGAGGUGAAAUUCGUAGAUAUUGGGAAGAACACCGGUGGCGAAGGCGGCUCACUGGCUCGUAACUGACGCUCAGGCGCGACAGCGUGGGGAUCAAACAGG